This 524-nucleotide ribosomal RNA is filed under the name Alternaria sp. SC13L2-1. Its description in RNAcentral is "eukaryotic LSU rRNA". The stretch from base 148 to 301 matches the Rfam family "5.8S ribosomal RNA". The record is from RNAcentral. Lineage: Eukaryota; Fungi; Ascomycota; Dothideomycetes; Pleosporales; Pleosporaceae.
CUGGAACCUCUCGGGGUUACAGCCUUGCUGAAUUAUUCACCCUUGUCUUUUGCGUACUUCUUGUUUCCUUGGUGGGUUCGCCCACCACUAGGACAAACAUAAACCUUUUGUAAUUGCAAUCAGCGUCAGUAACAAAUUAAUAAUUACAACUUUCAACAACGGAUCUCUUGGUUCUGGCAUCGAUGAAGAACGCAGCGAAAUGCGAUAAGUAGUGUGAAUUGCAGAAUUCAGUGAAUCAUCGAAUCUUUGAACGCACAUUGCGCCCUUUGGUAUUCCAAAGGGCAUGCCUGUUCGAGCGUCAUUUGUACCCUCAAGCUUUGCUUGGUGUUGGGCGUCUUGUCUCUAGCUUUGCUGGAGACUCGCCUUAAAGUAAUUGGCAGCCGGCCUACUGGUUUCGGAGCGCAGCACAAGUCGCACUCUCUAUCAGCAAAGGUCUAGCAUCCAUUAAGCCUUUUUUUUCAACUUUUGACCUCGGAUCAGGUAGGGAUACCCGCUGAACUUAAGCAUAUCAAUAAGCGGAGGAA